UACAGAGGUCUCAAGCGUUGUUCGGAUUCAUUGGGCGUAAAGGGUGCGUAGGCGGCGCGGUAAGUCGGGUGUGAAAUCUCGGAGCUUAACUCCGAAACUGCAUUCGAUACUGCCGUGCUUGAGGACUGGAGAGGAGACUGGAAUUUACGGUGUAGCGGUGAAAUGCGUAGAUAUCUGGAGGAACACCGGUGGCGAAGGCGGCGCUCUGGACCGAGACUGACGCUGAGGCGCGAAAGCGUGGGGAGCAAACAGG
This 253-nucleotide ribosomal RNA is filed under the name uncultured bacterium. RNAcentral describes it as "partial 16S ribosomal RNA". It matches the Rfam family "Bacterial small subunit ribosomal RNA", at positions 524 to 776 of the family's 1533-position model. The record is from RNAcentral.